Zingiber officinale is the source of this 444-nucleotide long non-coding RNA. RefSeq lists it as uncharacterized. The transcript has 3 exons. The record is from RefSeq and is a predicted model, not a curated record. NCBI's taxonomy places the organism in Eukaryota, Viridiplantae, Streptophyta, Magnoliopsida, Zingiberales, Zingiberaceae.
UUUCUUUUACAACAAUUUCAACAAUUUAGAUCGGGUUCAAGCUAUAUUCCUCCUGGUAUUGGUGAUGAUGCUAAUGACGAUGAUGAUGUCGAUGAUGAUGCCGCCGAUGAUGUUGAUGAUGAUGCAUGAGUGUUUGGUUGGUAGGUGAAGAUGAUGGUGGUAUUGAUGUAAAAAUAUGUAGAAGAAGGAUUUGGACUGAGAAGGAUCUCCAUAAGAUUAUCUUCAACUCUAUCUUUUUCAUGUUCUUGUAUGAUAUUGGAAUUUGGAUACUAUGACAUGUUUGUUGUAACUUUAUUGUAGUGUUUGGUUUAGGGUGUUAGUUGUAGUUGUAUAUUGUUGUAGUUUGUAUUGUUGGAUGAUGAUGUGUUGUAUUGUUAGUUUUAUGCUCUUAGUUUAGGUUGUAUAUGGAACAACAUGUUUUAAUGGUGCAUGUGUUUGGGUUUA